GUGAGAAAGGUGAAUGUCAGCCAUAUUCUUUCAACUUAAGAAUAGUCAUUCACCUACAUUUCUCAACUACCUAGCUCAUGUAUGGCUCCUCGAAUGCCACGCCCUGGGCAACAGUCUUGGCUGACUGGCUAAAUACAUGAGUAAUUUAUGAGCUUAAUAAUAUUUACAGGAAAGUCCAUGUUUUGCAUGAAUCAAAACAAGAAAUCGGCAGGAAAUGACAUCAUAGGUUGUAUGUAACAAUCUACAUCUAAAAAUGUAUUAAAAACUUUUGUAGUUGUAGUUAAAAAUGUUCCAAUUAGUUUCAAUUUCUCAUUGAUUAUCUGAUUUCUGACUAGCAAUCUAGAAAUUGUUUAUUUUUUUUUACUUUAAAUGGACAUCACAAAUUUUGCAUUGUUCAUCAUUAAUAAUUUUGAUAAUUUUUCUAGGAUUUUAAUUUUAAAAGUACAAAAUCUUUUUUCCACAUGCAUUUAACAUUGAACAUUUAAUAAAAUAAUUUUUUUUAUGUUUGUAUUAUAGACAGAGCUUGAGUGUUGUGUCAGGCAUGGUUAUGCAAUCUUUGAUGAUACAAACAUGUGGCUUUGGGUGCCUUCUACAUUGAGACUACAUGAAGAGAUCAUAAAGGCCACCAAACAGUCCAUCGUCCACAUAACCAGAUCCAGUAUGCAGAGAAGUCCAAAGUAAGCAUUAAACCCAAUUCAGCCCUAUUCUAUGGAGUGGGAAGUUGCUUUCAAGUAAGAGAUCGUCACAUUUAUCUAUACAUAUCUUAUAGAUAAGAAUGAUCUAUGCAUGCACUACAGAUGCUGUUCUUUUCACGAGGAAGCCUGCUCAAGAAGCUGCUGCAUGAAAGUCAAAAUAUGAUCGCUUUACUGAUGUUGAUAUUAUUGCCACCACCCUUGAAGUUAGCCUGUUAAGAAUGCAGAUGAUGAAAUGAAAAUGCUUUCUUCAUUUCUUGUUUGUGUCAUUAU
This is a long non-coding RNA of Biomphalaria glabrata, 965 nucleotides long. RefSeq lists it as uncharacterized. The transcript has 4 exons. The record is from RefSeq and is a predicted model, not a curated record. NCBI's taxonomy places the organism in Eukaryota, Metazoa, Mollusca, Gastropoda, Planorbidae.